RNAcentral lists this long non-coding RNA (327 nucleotides) under Pan troglodytes (chimpanzee). RNAcentral describes it as "long non-coding RNA NONPTRT007616". Lineage: Eukaryota; Metazoa; Chordata; Mammalia; Primates; Hominidae. The record is from RNAcentral.
UGUAACAUCACUGUCAUACAUAAUGGAUAAUGAUGGUGCUUCAUUUGUGCUGAGAUAUAUUAGAGUAGUUAGGACACAAAAUGUGUGAUACUCUGGGAAUGAGAGAAUCAUGUUUUCUGAGUUAUAAAACACUUCCAUUUAUUUAAAAUAUAAAGAGAAUUUGGUAAUAGCACGCUAAGAAAGUUAACCUUUAUGUUCUGCCUCAUUUUAAAAACAAAAAAUUAUUAUAUUUCAAUGUCAAAUGAAUUUACUAUCAUUAUAAAGUAAAAAUUGUUAUUACAUUCCUAUUCUCAUACACUAGGAGACGGGGAAGAUGGAGAGAAGCUG